Molecule: long non-coding RNA, 1055 nt
Filed under: Homo sapiens (human)
Lineage: Eukaryota; Metazoa; Chordata; Mammalia; Primates; Hominidae
Description: non-protein coding SLC26A4-AS1:1
Source: RNAcentral
UGAAUGGUAGCCCGCCUACUUAGCUUGAGUGUUUCAAGGACUCCUCCUGGUCAAGAGCUGGGUUUCCCUAUUCAUUUCAUUUAAACAAGCUCCCAAGAAGGCAACAGGGACCCACUGUACCCCAAGAGGCACUCCAAGUUUCCUUCAGAGAGGAAAAAGAGAGACGGGGCUCCUAGAACCCACUCUCCCCAAAGGCGAGUUUCCCAGGCGCCGCUCGUGCUGUUGCUGGAAAGCGAGCUCGCUGUAGACCGGCCGCGACACCAUGUAGCUGCAGCUGUACUCGGGGAGCUGCGGCGGCUCCGACCUGCCGCCUGGCGCUGCCAUGACCUGCGAGCCAGAGGACAGCGAGGAGGGAGGACACGCGGGAAGGAAUAAACUGGACUACAUGGAAAUCAAGACUAGAAGAGAGGGAGGAGGAGCUGGAGCUAUCCUACCUCAUCAGUGUUUUGUCUUCUGUUGGGAUGAACUUUGUUAAAACUAAUGCAUGGUUAAGAUGAAAGGCAGAAGGAAGGGUUUGAUAAACCAGAACAUUCUCGCCUGAUUGUUAGUGUUCUGAAGUAAAUACAGAAGAGGCUCCAAAAUACAGACCUCUGUACAUCAACCUUCCGUAAUCCACCUGCCUUGCAUAUGCAGACCAUGACAAUUCUACGAGCUCCUGGAAACAGAACUCAGAACUCCUCCCCAGAGAACCCUGAUGCAAAUUCUCUGAAAUGGUAGUCAGCAUGUGCGUUUUCCUGAGAAGUGAAUGAGUCAACAGCUUUCAACAGAUCUUCAAAGGCUUACUUCACCCAAUGAAGUUAAGAACCACUAAAGAAGAAACCUAAAAGGAAAAUCCAGACAUGAUCUCAUUCUGUUGCCCAGGGUGAGUGCAGUGGCACCUUCAUGGCUCAUUGCAGUCUCGAUCUCCCAGGCUCAAGCGAUCCUCCCACCUCAGCCUCCCAAAGUGCUGGGAUUGCAGGCGUGAGCCACCUUGCCCAGCCCAUUCUGCAAUCUUCGGAAGGAAGUCACUAUAUGCAGCCUAUGCUUGAGGAGUGGGGAGUUGAAUUCCACAUCCU